Molecule: non-coding RNA, 213 nt
Organism: Pelobates cultripes (western spadefoot toad)
Lineage: Eukaryota; Metazoa; Chordata; Amphibia; Anura; Pelobatidae
Source: the annotation of a GenBank genome assembly
CUUAAACCGGGGCCCCCUUCCCGAGCCCCCAGUCGUGACGUGCGAGUGGGGGAUUUUAAUCUAAAGGGGAGACCUAUUCCCCCCCCCCCAGCCCCCACCCGUGAGCGGUGGGUGGGGGCCCUAAAGUAAAAUAAUGGGGGGUCCUAUUGUCCUCCCCUCCGGCCCCCACCCCUGAGCGGCGGGUGGGCGCCCUAAACACCAAUAAGAGGGGGG